RNAcentral lists this ribosomal RNA (481 nucleotides) under uncultured bacterium. Its description in RNAcentral is "partial 16S ribosomal RNA". It matches the Rfam family "Bacterial small subunit ribosomal RNA", at positions 30 to 507 of the family's 1533-position model. The record is from RNAcentral.
AUUGAACGCUGGCGGCAUGCUUUACACAUGCAAGUCGAACGGUAACAGGCCGCCAGGUGCUGACGAGUGGCGAACGGGUGCGUAAUGCAUCGGAACGUGCCCAGUCGUGGGGAAAAUCACCCCGAAACGGAACCUAUACCCCAUUAGGACCUAGUAUUUAAAGCGGGGGCCGUCAGGGCCCGCGGCCAUUGCACCGGCGAUGUCAGAUUAGGUAGUUGGUGGGGUAAAGGCUCACCAAGCCAACGAUCUGUAGCUGGUCCGAGAGGACGACCAGCCACACUGGGACUGAGACACGGCCCAGACUCCUACGGGAGGCAGCAGUGGGGAAUUUUGGACAAUGGGCGCAAGCCUGAUCCAGCAAUGCCGCGUGCAGGAAGAAGGCCUUCGGGUUGUAAACUGCUUUUGUACGGAACGAAACGGCUCUGGUUAAUACCCGGGGCUAAUGACGGUACCGUAAGAAUAAGCACCGGCUAACUACGUG